UACGUAGGGGGCUAGCGUUGUCCGGAAUCAUUGGGCGUAAAGAGCGUGUAGGCGGCCCGGUAAGUCCGCUGUGAAAGUCGGGGGCUCAACCCUCGAAUGCCGGUGGAUACUGUCGGGCUAGAGUGCGGAAGAGGCGAGUGGAAUUCCUGGUGUAGCGGUGAAAUGCGCAGAUAUCAGGAGGAACACCGAUUGCGAAGGCAGCUCGCUGGGACGUAACUGACGCUGAGACGCGAAAGCCAGGGGAGCGAACGGG
Molecule: ribosomal RNA, 253 nt
Filed under: uncultured bacterium
Lineage: Bacteria
Description: partial 16S ribosomal RNA
Rfam family: Bacterial small subunit ribosomal RNA
Source: RNAcentral